This 312-nucleotide ribosomal RNA is filed under the name Heterocranaus sp. n. MZSP 72970. RNAcentral's name for it is "partial large subunit ribosomal RNA". Lineage: Eukaryota; Metazoa; Arthropoda; Arachnida; Opiliones; Cranaidae. The record is from RNAcentral.
UUUUUUAAUUGAAGACUGGAAUGAAAGAUAGAAUCUGAGAGGAGAUGUUUUAUUAAAUAAUUUUGAAAUUUAGUUAAAAGUAAAAAUGCUUUUGUAAAAUUUUGGGACGAGAAGACCCUAGAAGCUUGAUAGAUAAUAUUUAUUUUAUUGGGGUAAUAUUUGAAGAAACAAUUUUUAAAUAAGGAAGAGGUAUUUUAAUAAGUUACUCUAGGGAUAACAGCGUAAUCUAAUUAGAGAGUUCUUAUUAAUAAUUAGGGUUGCGACCUCGAUGUUGAAUUAAAGUGAAUUUUUGAUGAAGGAGUUGAAUGAUUU